Molecule: ribosomal RNA, 465 nt
Filed under: uncultured bacterium
Lineage: Bacteria
Description: partial 16S ribosomal RNA
Rfam family: Bacterial small subunit ribosomal RNA
Source: RNAcentral
CCUACGGGCGGCAGCAGUGGGGAAUAUUGCGCAAUGGGCGAAAGCCUGACGCCGCGACGCCGCGUGAGGGAUGAAGGUCUUCGGAUCGUAAACCUCUGUCAGCAGGGAAGAACGGUCACUGUGCUAAUCAGCAGUGAAUUGACGGUACCUGCAAAGGAAGCACCGGCUAACUCCGUGCCAGCAGCCGCGGUAAUACGGAGGGUGCGAGCGUUAAUCGGAAUUACUGGGCGUAAAGCGCUCGUAGGCGGUAUGUCAAGUCAAGGGUGAAAGCCCCGCGCUCAACGUGGGAACUGCCUUUGAAACGGGCAAACUGGAGUGUGUGAGAGGAUAGUGGAAGUCCAGGUGUAGGAGUGAAAUCCGUAGAUAUCUGGAGGAACAUCAGUGGCGAAGGCGACUAUCUGGCACAUAACUGACGCUGAGGAGCGACAGCGUGGGUAGCAAACAGGAUUAGAUACCCGAGUAGUC